Molecule: long non-coding RNA, 624 nt
Filed under: Cercocebus atys (sooty mangabey)
Lineage: Eukaryota; Metazoa; Chordata; Mammalia; Primates; Cercopithecidae
Description: lncRNA (ENSCATG00000045871.1)
Source: RNAcentral
AGUAAAUGCAUUAGUCUUGUAUUCACUGCAAUAAAAUGCUCUUGUACCAGUAUUAUUUAAUACAUUACAUUUUAUCGUAGUAAAUAAAUCAUAGAAAUAGAAAUUCUUGGCUGCUUUAUAUUGCUGUAGAAAAAAACAAUGAAAUCUUAUUUUAAACUUUUCUCAUGAUUUUUAAAGGGAAUUCAUGAAAUCUUUGUUAGGUUUGAUGACAGGUACCAUAUGAAGGGCAGCAUUUUAUGACCCAUAUCUUAAACAUCGUCUCUGGAAGUUAAGAGCCUCCAAUGGGUUCUCUGUAGAGUGCACAUGAUACCGCACUCAGGCAGUUCAUGGAGUGUAAGAAAUAUCUUAGUGCUUUGUCAUUUGACAUUUUAACCAAGAAAAAAUACACUUUGAUAAGUUUAACUUACACUUCCCUUCCCCUUCAGGUAUCUACUGUGCGUUUCAGUCAACAAUACAGCUCAUGUUCAACAAUAUUCCUUGAUGACAACACAGCCAGCCAGCCUUAUCUUACAAUGACAAUAAUAUCAGUGACCUUGGAGCUACAUCAUGAUAUCAUGCAAAGAGAUGCAGAUGGAUCUUUGAGCGUAUGUGAUGAACAGUUAUACUCAUUUACGGUAAGUGGCG